AAUAUUGCACAAUGGGCGCAAGCCUGAUGCAGCCAUGCCGCGUGUAUGAAGAAGGCCUUCGGGUUGUAAAGUACUUUCAGCAGUGAGGAAGUGGGUAUGUUAAUAGCAUAUUCAUUUGACGUUAGCUGCAGAAGAAGCACCGGCUAACUCCGUGCCAGCAGCCGCGGUAAUACGGAGGGUGCGAGCGUUAAUCGGAAUUACUGGGCGUAAAGCGCAUGCAGGUGGUUUGUUAAGUCAGAUGUGAAAGCCCGGGGCUCAACCUCGGAAUUGCAUUUGAAACUGGCAAACUAGAGUACUGUAGAGGGGGUAGAAUUUCAGGUGUAGCGGUGAAAUGCGUAGAGAUCUGAAGGAAUACCGGUGGCGAAGGCGGCCCCCUGGACAGAUACUGACACUCAGAUGCGAAAGCGUGGGGAGCAAACAGGAUUAGAUACCCUUGGUAG
RNAcentral lists this ribosomal RNA (440 nucleotides) under uncultured bacterium. RNAcentral's name for it is "bacterial SSU rRNA". It matches the Rfam family "Bacterial small subunit ribosomal RNA", at positions 360 to 793 of the family's 1533-position model. The record is from RNAcentral.